CUGGGGAAACCCAGGCUAAUACCGCAUACGUCCUACGGGAGAAAGGGGGCUCCGGCUCCCGCUAUGGGAUGAGCCUAUGUCGGAUUAGCUAGUUGGUGAGGUAACGGCUCACCAAGGCCACGAUCCGUAGCUGGUCUGAGAGGAUGAUCAGCCACAUCGGGACUGAGACACGGCCCGAACUCCUACGGGAGGCAGCAGUGGGGAAUAUUGGACAAUGGGCGAAAGCCUGAUCCAGCCAUGCCGCGUGUGUGAAGAAGGCCCUCGGGUUGUAAAGCACUUUCAGCGAGGAAGAACGCCUAGCGGUUAAUACCCGCUAGGAAAGACAUCACUCGCAGAAGAAACACCGGCUAACUCCGUGCCAGCAGCCGCGGUAAUACGGAGGGUGCAAGCGUUAGUCGGAAUUACUGGGCGUAAAGCGCGCGUAGGUGGCUUGAUAAGCCGGUUGUGAAAGCCCCGGGCUCAACCUGGGAACGGCAUCCGGAACUGUCAAGCUAGAGUGCAGGAGAGGAAGGUAGAAUUCCCGGUGUAGCGGUGAAAUGCGUAGAGAUCGGGAGGAAUACCAGUGGCGAAGGCGGCCUUCUGGACUGACACUGACACUGAGGUGCGAAAGCGUGGGUAGCAAACAGGAUUAGAUACCCUGGUAGUCCACGCCGUAAACGAUGUCGACCAGCCGUUGGGUGCCUAGCGCACUUUGUGGCGAAGUUAACGCGAUAAGUCGACCGCCUGGGGAGUACGGCCGCAAGGUUAAAACUCAAAUGAAUUGACGGGGGCCCGCACAAGCGGUGGAGCAUGUGGUUUAAUUCGAUGCAACGCGAAGAACCUUACCUACUCUUGACAUCCUGCGAAUUUGGUAGAGAUACCUUAGUGCCUUCGGGAACGCAGAGACAGGUGCUGCAUGGCUGUCGUCAGCUCGUGUUGUGAAAUGUUGGGUUAAGUCCCGUAACGAGCGCAACCCUUGUCCUUAUUUGCCAGCGCGUAAUGGCGGGAACUCUAAGGAGACUGCCGGUGACAAACCGGAGGAAGGUGGGGACGACGUCAAGUCAUCAUGGCCCUUACGAGUAGGGCUACACACGUGCUACAAUGGUCGGUACAAAGGGUUGCCAACUCGCGAGAGUGAGCCAAUCCCGAAAAGCCGAUCUCAGUCUGGAUCGGAGUCUGCAACUCGACUCCGUGAAGUCGGAAUCGCUAGUAAUCGUGGAUCAGAAUGCCACGGUGAAUACGUUCCCGGGCCUUGUACAC
RNAcentral lists this ribosomal RNA (1239 nucleotides) under uncultured Halomonas sp. RNAcentral's name for it is "bacterial SSU rRNA". It matches the Rfam family "Bacterial small subunit ribosomal RNA", at positions 148 to 1388 of the family's 1533-position model. The record is from RNAcentral. Lineage: Bacteria; Pseudomonadati; Pseudomonadota; Gammaproteobacteria; Oceanospirillales; Halomonadaceae.